GAUGAACGCUGGCGGCGUGCCUAACACAUGCAAGUCGAGCGAAAGGACGAGUUGCUUUCUUCUCUGAUGUUAGCCGCGUGCGUGUUAGUUACACGCGUAUCACCUCCUUAUAGGUCUGGGAUCAAUUCGUUUAACCGUAGCUAAUACCGUAUAAUAUUUUGAACCGCAUGGUUCAAUAGUUAGCGCCGGCGUUGCUGUCACUUAUAGAUUGAUCCGGGCUGGAUUAGCUAGUUGGUAAGGUAACGGCUUACCAAGGCAACGAUGCGUAGCCGACCUGAGAGGAUGAUCGGCCACACUGGAACUGAGACACGGUCAAGACUCCUACGGGAGGCAGCAGUAGGGAAUCUUCGGCAAUGGGCGAAAGCCUGACGGAGCAAGGCCGCGUGAGUGAUGAAGGUCUUCGGAUCGUAAAAAUCUGUUAUAAGGGAAGAACAGAUGUGUAAGAAAACGUGCAGAUCAUGACGGUACCGAAUCAAAAAGCAACGGCUAACUACGUG
Molecule: ribosomal RNA, 497 nt
Filed under: uncultured bacterium
Lineage: Bacteria
Description: partial 16S ribosomal RNA
Rfam family: Bacterial small subunit ribosomal RNA
Source: RNAcentral